UGCAAGUUCGAGCGGACAGAUGGGAGCUUGCUCCCUGAUGUUAGCGGCGGACGGGUGAGUAACACGUGGGUAACCUGCCUGUAAGACUGGGAUAACUCCGGGAAACCGGGGCUAAUACCGGAUGGUUGUUUGAACCGCAUGGUUCAAACAUAAAAGGUGGCUUCGGCUACCACUUACAGAUGGACCCGCGGCGCAUUAGCUAGUUGGUGAGGUAACGGCUCACCAAGGCAACGAUGCGUAGCCGACCUGAGAGGGUGAUCGGCCACACUGGGACUGAGACACGGCCCAGACUCCUACGGGAGGCAGCAGUAGGGAAUCUUCCGCAAUGGACAAAAGUCUGACGGAGCAACGCCGCGUGAGUGAUGAAGGUUUUCGGAUCGUAAAGCUCUGUUGUUAGGGAAGAACAAGUACCGUUCGAAUAGGGCGGUACCUUGACGGUACCUAACCAGAAAGCCACGGCUAACUACGUGCCAGCAGCCGCGGUAAUACGUAGGUGGCAAGCGUUGUCCGGAAUUAUUGGGCGUAAAGGGCUCGCAGGCGGUUUCUUAAGUCUGAUGUGAAAGCCCCCGGCUCAACCGGGGAGGGUCAUUGGAAACUGGGGAACUUGAGUGCAGAAGAGGAGAGUGGAAUUCCACGUGUAGCGGUGAAAUGCGUAUAGAUGUGUACAAACACCAAUGGCGAAAGCGACUCUCUGGUGUGUAGCUGACGCUCAGGAGGGAAAAAGUGUGGAGCGGCCACCAUGACAAAUGCUGUUAGUCCACCCGCCCAAACAAUUAAUAGCGGCCAAGUGGGAGGGGGGCUUCCCCCCCCCUAAGGGCGGGAUCCCACGAUUUACACAACCCCCCCGGGGGAGGGCGGGGGGGAGAUAGAAAACCAAAAGAAAAAUGGGGGGGGGCGCGCAAAUACGGGGGGAAAUUGGGGGUUAAUUUCGAACCCCCCCGAAAAAACCUCGCGAGGGGGGGGCAUCCUCCGGACAACCCUUAGAAUGGAGCUCCCCCUUGGGG
RNAcentral lists this ribosomal RNA (1004 nucleotides) under Bacillus subtilis. RNAcentral's name for it is "partial 16S ribosomal RNA". It matches the Rfam family "Bacterial small subunit ribosomal RNA", at positions 56 to 1025 of the family's 1533-position model. The record is from RNAcentral. Lineage: Bacteria; Bacillati; Bacillota; Bacilli; Caryophanales; Bacillaceae.